Molecule: long non-coding RNA, 2469 nt
Organism: Magallana angulata
Lineage: Eukaryota; Metazoa; Mollusca; Bivalvia; Ostreida; Ostreidae
Exons: 3
Source: RefSeq, a predicted model, not a curated record
CUUGAACAGGUACGGAUAGAUUGAGUGUGUGGAUAUCCCUGCUCUAUCUAAUCUUCGUGUUUUCUAUCCUACGAUACAAAGUGUGCGGUCAUUCCUGCGCUGUAUCCCAUUAAUACAAGUGUGGGGUCAUACCUGCUUGUAUAGGUGGUGGUUGCGGCGGAGCACUAGUGUAUGGUCAUCCCUGCUGGUGUUCUGGCCUUUCUAGCGCAAGUGUGCGGCACUUACUGCUUGCGUUAGGUUGAGCUGUUGGCGCAAGUGUGCGGUCAUCCCUGCUUGCGUUAUCCUUGCUUGCGUUAACGUUGGUACCUGUUGAGUUGCGUAGGUGCGCGGUCAUCCCUGCCUGCGUAACAUUGAGGUCCUAUAUAUGUGCAGGAGCGGUGAUUAAAGUCUGCUCUUGAAAAUAUUGGCAGCAAUCGGGGCUAUCCGAGUUCCAAGGGAGGAAAAUGGAUUUUAUUUAUACAGGAUCUACAUGUGUUAUUGUACAUUGUCCAGAUUGUUUGUAUUAUGACUCCAUUAAGCUGACUUUAUCAUACCUAUUGUUCCUCAGGUGAGCGAUGUGGCCCAUGGGCCUCUUGUAUUAAAAGUAAAAUGCUGGUAAGUUUCAGUAAGUUUCCGUUGCGGAAACCAUUUGGAUUCGUGGACAGCCUAAGUUUCAGAACUACGGAAACUUAAUGAAACUUGAAGUUUCCGUGCUGAAACCUGUCGGAAAUUCAAAGUAACCUUAAGUUUCCGCAGAGUUUGCAAAGGGUUUCCGCAGCGCUGAAACCAGAUAUUUCAUCCAGUAAAUAUGCAAUGAAACAGGAGAUCUGAAAUCCUUAUAAAUCCGCUAACACAGACUCGUCGCUAUGUACAUUAAACUCAUAAAAAUUAAUAUGCUGUGUUUGCGAUAUAGAGUUAACGCACUGUGUAAACGUAUGUGUGAGAGAGAGAGAGAGAGAGAGAGAGAGAAAGAGAUGCAGGCAGACAGAGAUAGACAUGCAGGCAGACAGACAGACAGAUAUAGGCAUGUAGACAGAAAUAUUUCUUGAUAUUGAGUUUUAAGAAACUUUAAACAAACUUAAUUGUUGCAGAUAAGAUGAUAAAUCCCAAACAUGGAAUUUUUUGUUUGUGUUUGUAACCAAGGAAGUAUACUUUACCGCAUUUAGGGAGAUUCGAGGAAUCCCAUCUUCCACUUUUAAUAAAGUAAGGAAACUAAUUCUUAGUAAGUAUAAUAAUAUUUAGUGUCUUAGUGGUUGAAUGCUUGGUUCGAUGGAUGAAUGGAUGGAUCUAUCAUCUAUCUAAAAAAUGAUUUGUUAAAUUAUAUUUUAUAGACAAGCAGAAGGUAAUUUCCAAACAAAGGACAAAGAGACGACAAUCAAAAUCAAUGUCGGUCUUGGCAUGGCUCAGCACCUACGCAGAAAGUAAUGGCGAGAAACUCCCUAACACAGCACAAAUUCAUCUCCCUCCAUGUUCAACAAAGCAACACGUUUUUGAAACCAUGCUGGAGGAAACGUAAAAUCCUUUAACUAUCUCUCGUAGUGACUUUUUGCGCCUGUGGAGAAAAGAAGCCUCACAUAUUGCUAUACCCAAGCCAUUCAACGAACAUGACGUUAUCCAUCCUUCUGAGUGUUUUUAUGGUAUUAAGGACUCCAUGCCCGACAUGCUAUACCUGCAGAUGGACAACUGUGCCAGGGAAACAAAAAUAAGUGAAUCUAUUCGUGUUCAAAAUUAUAGGCUUUAACAUUUUAAUCUAGUUUAAGACCAUUUAUGUGCUUGAUCUCUAUUUGAUUUUGAAGGAGCAACAUUUCUUGCUCUUGAAUGUCGUUCAAAAGAUUUUCUUUACAUUGUUUUCAACAUUGUAACAAUUACAUCCUUGUAGGAUGUGAUGAAGACAUUUUGUACACUUAAUUUAAGCGCAAGUGUUGUUCCACCAGUUAGAAGUGCUAAACUUCUUCCAAUUCAAAAUCAGGAAAUUAACAAUAAACUUUAUGAAGACAUUUUGAUAAAAAUGAGAGAUGAUGAGGUCCGCAGAGCAAUAAAGGGUGAUGGCUUAUAAUGCAUUUUGGUCAAAGAUUGUAUGAAAAGCAAGGUCAUCCUCACAGACUUCCUUAUGUUGUUCAGAAGAUGUGAGAACUUGGGCGUCUUCUGAAUGUUUUAAUGUUAUCAUAUCUCAACAUUUGUAGUCUAGAAGAUGCAAUUAAAGCCUCUAGUUGGAACUCCCUUCCUAAAAGUGUUAAAAUCGUUUCAGAAUUUGAUUACAACACACAAUCCUAUGGCAUAACAUCCAUAGCACUCAAACUUGGCUACAGUCUACUACAGUCUACAGCUGACAACGACCCAUAUACAUUAAUAUAGAUGGAUAAAAAGGAACACACGACAGUGUUACCGAGGCUUGGAAUGACAUCAAUCAAUGGUUCAUUGUGGAUGACUCCAUAUAACAGAUUUAAUGGCCGAGCUAUCACCACCCCCACACCGAUGUAAAACAGCACG